GCCAGCAUGGUGUAGGGGUCUGAACACUGGACUAUGACUCUAAAGACCAUGGUUCAAAUCCAAGCUUGGCC
Non-coding RNA from Phrynosoma platyrhinos (Desert horned lizard), 71 nucleotides. NCBI's taxonomy places the organism in Eukaryota, Metazoa, Chordata, Lepidosauria, Squamata, Phrynosomatidae. The record is from the annotation of a GenBank genome assembly.